GACGUAGGGAGCAAGCGUUGUCCGGAAUUACUGGGCGUAAAGGGUGCGUAGGCGGCUAGGCAAGUCAGAUGUGAAAUCCCCGGGCUUAACUCGGGUGGUGCAUUUGAAACUGCUUAGCUUGAGUGCAGGAGAGGAAAGCGGAAUUCCUAGUGUAGCGGUGAAAUGCGUAGAUAUUAGGAGGAACACCAGUGGCGAAGGCGGCUUUCUGGACUGUAACUGACGCUGAGGCACGAAAGCGUGGGGAGCAAACAGG
Molecule: ribosomal RNA, 253 nt
Filed under: uncultured bacterium
Lineage: Bacteria
Description: partial 16S ribosomal RNA
Rfam family: Bacterial small subunit ribosomal RNA
Source: RNAcentral